CCCGCAACAAGGCGGUGAGCAUGUGGUUUAAUUCGUAUGAUACGCGAAGUACCUUACCGGGGUUUGACAUGCAGGUGAUCGCCGUUGGAAAGACGGUUUCCUCUUCGGAGGCACCUGCACAGGUGCUGCAUGGCUGUCGUCAGCUCGUGUCGUGAGAUGUUGGGUUAAGUCCCGCAACGAGCGCAACCCUUAUCCCUAGUUGCCAUCAGGUAAAGCUGGGAACUCUGGGGAGACUGCCGGUGAUAAACCGGAGGAAGGCGGGGAUGACGUCAAGUCCUCAUGGCCCUUACAUCCCGGGCUACACACGUGCUACAAUGGCAGGUACAGAGGGCUGCGAAGCCGCGAGGUGGAGCGAAUCCCAGAAAACCUGUCUCAGUCCGGAUUGAAGUCUGCAACUCGACUUCAUGAAGGCGGAAUCGCUAGUAACCGCGAAUCAGCAGGUCGCGGUGAAUACGUUCCCGGGCCUU
This 467-nucleotide ribosomal RNA is filed under the name uncultured Latescibacterota bacterium. Its description in RNAcentral is "bacterial SSU rRNA". It matches the Rfam family "Bacterial small subunit ribosomal RNA", at positions 920 to 1382 of the family's 1533-position model. Lineage: Bacteria; Pseudomonadati; Candidatus Latescibacterota. The record is from RNAcentral.